UCGAGGAUCUUCGGCAAUGGGCGCAAGCCUGACCGAGCGACGCCGCGUGCGCGAUGAAGGCCUUCGGGUUGUAAAGCGCUGUCGAGGGGGAGGAAGAUCCGCAAGGGUUUGACCGAUCCCUGGAGGAAGCACGGGCUAAGUUCGUGCCAGCAGCCGCGGUAAGACGAACCGUGCGAACGUUGUUCGGAAUCACUGGGCUUAAAGGGCGCGUAGGCGGGCGGCCAAGUCGGGGGUGAAAUACCCCAGCUCAACUGGGGAAUUGCCCCCGAUACUGGCGGUCUCGAGGGGGGUAGGGGCACGCGGAACUUCCGGUGGAGCGGUGAAAUGCGUUGAGAUCGGAAGGAACGCCGGCGGCGAAAGCGGCGUGCUGGACCUCUUCUGACGCUGAGGCGCGAAAGCCAGGGGAGCGAACGG
Molecule: ribosomal RNA, 414 nt
Filed under: uncultured bacterium
Lineage: Bacteria
Description: bacterial SSU rRNA
Rfam family: Bacterial small subunit ribosomal RNA
Source: RNAcentral